GCGAGUAUUACCUAUUUGCAUAGGUUCUGGUGGAGUAGGAUUAUAGGAGUCAGGGUUCUGAAAUGAGGGAGCGAGUCUUACAGGAAGUCUAGUAACUCUUUCCCAAGUGUUCUGCCUCUGUCUCAUGCGUUCAUCUAUUCUGGAAAUGAAGGAUACUAAAUCCUCUAAAUUUUCCGGAAGUUCUCUUGUGGCAAUUUCAUCUAGAAUUUCAUCAGACAAACCAUUCAAGAAAACAUCCAUAAAAGCUUGUUCG
This is a non-coding RNA of Pelobates cultripes (western spadefoot toad), 253 nucleotides long. Lineage: Eukaryota; Metazoa; Chordata; Amphibia; Anura; Pelobatidae. The record is from the annotation of a GenBank genome assembly.